Long non-coding RNA from Plectropomus leopardus (leopard coralgrouper), 294 nucleotides. RefSeq lists it as uncharacterized. NCBI's taxonomy places the organism in Eukaryota, Metazoa, Chordata, Actinopteri, Perciformes, Serranidae. The record is from RefSeq and is a predicted model, not a curated record.
UGCAAUGCAUGCAAAUUUAGGAUGCAACAGACCAGCAGAGAAGAGGACAGAGGCAAAGUGCCGCAUGAGGCUCUGCUUCAUCCUUCAAAGUAUGUUCCCACAACAAAAUGCCACAUUACACCCACUUCAGCUCCUCCUAUCUGUCCUGGAAGAUACAUUCAUACACUGUUACAAAGGGCCUGUCCAGUAUACUCCCAUGAUCAUGCCAGUUUGCCCAAAUGGGUGGACAACUUUUAAGUCAAUGUGUCAUGCAGGCAGUUAAACACGUUAAAAUUACUUACAUUAAAAGGGAUU